UGGGCGGAUAGCUCAGUGGUUAGAGCGCCUGCCUUACAAGCAGGAGGUCGUAGGUUCAAGUCCUGCUCCGCCCACCAC
This 78-nucleotide transfer RNA is filed under the name Dictyoglomus thermophilum H-6-12. RNAcentral describes it as "tRNA-Val". It matches the Rfam family "tRNA". Rfam says of the family: Transfer RNA (tRNA) molecules are approximately 80 nucleotides in length. The record is from RNAcentral. Lineage: Bacteria; Pseudomonadati; Dictyoglomota; Dictyoglomia; Dictyoglomales; Dictyoglomaceae.